UGAAUGGUUUGACGAGAGCUAUGCUGUCUCUUUUGGAAUAUUUAAAAAUUAACUUUUAGGUGAAGAGGCCUGAAUUUAUUUAAGGGACAAGAAGACCCUGUUGAGCUUUAGUGACUUUAUAAAUUUAUAUAUAAUUUGUUAUUGAUUAUAUUUUUGUAUAUUAAUGUAUAACUUAGGUUUAUGAAUAAUCUUUAGUUGGGGCGACUGAGGAACAUACAAAGCUUCCUUGAGUUCGAAGGCGUGUUGGCCUGGCUGAUUUAUUGAUGCGUUUGUGUUAAUUUUGAUCCAAUUUAUUUUGAUUAAGAAAAAAAGUUACCACAGGGAUAACAGCGUAAUCUUUCUGGAGAGAUCUAAUCGAAAGGAGGGUUUGCGACCUCGAUGUUGGACUAAGAUAUCCUGAGGGUGUAGAAGUUCUCAAAGGUUGGUCUGUUCGACCAUUAAAAUCUU
Molecule: ribosomal RNA, 447 nt
Filed under: Phorcus sauciatus
Lineage: Eukaryota; Metazoa; Mollusca; Gastropoda; Trochida; Trochidae
Description: partial 16S ribosomal RNA
Rfam family: Bacterial large subunit ribosomal RNA
Source: RNAcentral